Molecule: ribosomal RNA, 497 nt
Filed under: uncultured bacterium
Lineage: Bacteria
Description: partial 16S ribosomal RNA
Rfam family: Bacterial small subunit ribosomal RNA
Source: RNAcentral
GAUGAACGCUGGCGGCGUGCCUAAUACAUGCAAGUCGAGCGAACAGACGAGGAGCUUGCUCCUCUGACGUUAGCGGCGGACGGGUGAGUAACACGUGGAUACCCUCCCUAUAAUACUGGGAAAAUUUCGGGAAACCGGAGCUAAUACCGGAUAAUAUAUUGAAUCACAUGGUUUAUUAGUGAAAGACGGUUUUGCUGUCACUUAUAGAUGGUUCUGCGCCGCAUGAUCUAGUUGGUAAGGAACCGGGUUACCAAGGCAACGAUGCGUAGCCGACCUGAGAGGGUGGUCGGCCACACGGGAACUGAGACACGGUCCAGACUCCUACGGGAGGCAGCAGUAGGGAAUCUUCCGCAAUGGGCGAAAGCCUGACGGAGCAACGCCGCGGGAGUGAUGAAGGUGUUCGGAUCGGAAAACUCUGUUAUUAGGGAAGAACAAAUGUGUAAGUAACUAUGCACGUCUUGACGGUACCUAAUCAAAAAGCCACGGCUAACUACGUG